UAGCAAAGACAACGACGUAAUGAGACGGAAGUGAAGACAUUUUUUUUUUUUUUUUAUCUCGACACCGGCAAGAUGGCUGCGGACACGCAGGUUUCUGACACACUGAAGAAGUUUGCAGUGAAAGUGACUACAUCGAGUGUUAAAGAGCGCAAAGAAAUUUUAGAAGAACUGAAAGAAUGCAUAAAUGGCAAGAAUCUGCCUGAACCAGCUAUCAAAGGCCUAUGCAAGCUCUUUUGUCUUACCCUUCAUCGAUACAGGGAUGCAGCUUCUCGCCGUGCUGUCAUUUCUGUUAUUGACCUACUGGCCAAAGCACAGCCUGAUGCCAUUGCUUCUCACCUACCAUCUGGCCUGCUCACCUGUGGAGUUGUCAGUAAGGGCAUAAUGCCAGGGAGGAGCACAGCAUCGGCUUCUUGUUGUGCCCUUCCCUGGAUUUACCUAAUAGUUCGUGUAGUCUUCCCCAUGUUAGAGAACAGAGGGGCACCCCACUGGAAAAAAAUGGUGGAGGUGCAGAGUCUGCUCCUUGCUGAGGCCAUGGGUGGAGCCCCCAAAAAUGCUAUCAAGUCUGUCACCAAGCAGCUUAACAAGUUGUGGAAAGAUAUUCCAGGGUUGGUUGAUCAGUACAUGAGCACCCUUUUGAGCUUAGACCAGAGUCCUUCCUCUCUGCCUAUGUUGGCUGCAUGUGUGGACUUCUGCACUUCUCAGAAAGACAUGGCCACCAUCAACAAGCACAAGGCAGCUAUCUUAGAUCUCUACUUGAAGACUGUGCUGAUGAGCAAAACCAGACCAUUCCAGCACAUUAUGGCUAAAAGUGGUUCUUUGCUUCACCAUGUUUCUCACGCUGAGUUCAAGGAACAACUCUUGCCCGCUCUACAGAAAGCCCUGCUGCGUAGCCCUGAGAACUCCAUGCAGACCAUCUCCUCCAUGCUGGCUUCACUUACUCUUGAUCUCAGCCAGUAUGCUUUGGACAUUGGGAAAGGCCUUGCCAGCCAGCUAAAGGCAAGUAAUGUGGAAUUAAUGGAGCAUGCAGUUCAGGCUAUGCAAAAUUUAGCCCAGCAGUGUAGUGACCCAGCUGCCAUCCAGGAUCUUGUAACACACCUCUUUAGGAUUCUUGGAGGUUCAGAGGGGAAACUCACUGUAGUGGCCCAAAAAAUGAAUGUGCUUUCAGGGAUUAAAAGCUGUAGCUGUCAUGCAGUCUCUGGCUCUUCCAACCAGUCACUCAGCUCCAGUGUGGUUUUGCAGUUUAUCCCAUUUCUGCAGCAGGAAGUACAUGAGGGAACACUGGUGCAUGCUGUGUCUGUGAUGUCUCAAUGGAUGGCACGUCUGAAUGUGGAGGUUCCAGCUGCUUUGAGAGACUGGCUUAAGAAAGCCUUCACACUGAAGUCCUCCACCUCUGCUGUGCGCCACGCCUAUCUGCAGGCCAUGCUCAGGGCCUUCAAAGGGGACACAUUGAGCCAGGCUGUGGAUUUUGUUCCUUUCCUCAUUCAGACUGUAGAGAAAGCAGCUUCUCAGAACUCCCAGCAGGCCCUCUCUGAGGCCGUGGCAGCUUCACUGCUUCUAUGUCAUCUGUCCAUGCUGGACUCAGUUCCUGAAUCUAAACUGACCUCUCUUUGGAACCUGAUUUUGGAUGAGAAAAAACCUCUCUUUACCACAGAAAAAUUUCUCGGGCAGACCAGCGAGGAAGCACUGUGCACUGUACUACAGCUGUGUGAGAGACUGUUCCUGGACCACCCGCAGAGGCUCAACAACAUCAAGGCUCAGAUGUACCAUCGGGCAAUAGUGGCUGUGCUCCUUUGUCGAGUAUAUCAUGUGCGGAAGCGUGCCCAUCAGUGUGUAAAGAAACUUUUUUCCUCACUGGGUGGCUCUAAUCUUGCCCACGGCCUUCUGAGAGAACUGUGUGCUGUCAUCAACAAACAUAAGGUUUUGCCCCCAGAAGCUCUUCAGACUGAGGCAGGAGAGUGGACUGAGCUUGGCCGCUUAUAUAUCCCCCCAUGGAUCCUCUUAGAGGCUCUAAGGGCUCUGUGUGCAGCUGCAGGCCAGUGGAAUGAUUCAAGUGAGACUGAGAAACUGGCCCUAGUUAUUAUCCUUGUGGCCCACCACCCAUCCAUUGUGGCUGCCAAAUCAGAACUAUGGCCUUUGCUGUUGUCCAGCAUGAAUAUAGAUGCUACUAUGUUUAUUGACCAGCAUUUACAGACAAUCCUCCCGCUACUGUUGGAGGGAAAUGCUGACAACCAGGCUGUGAGAAAUGCCAUUGGGGAGUUGUCGAACCUUUCUCCUGGGAAACUGCUCCCUUGUGUAAUGGAUCAUGUAAUCCAGAGACUGUCUAAUCCAGCACUGAAGCAGGUAACACCUCAGGAAUAUGCCAUCAUGAAGACCCCAGAGGGAGAGCUGUAUGACAAGAGCAUCAUCAUGAGUGCCCAGCAAGAGAGCACCAAAAAGGGCAAUAUAAAGAGAGAGAAUAAGGCAUACUCUUUCAAAGAACAGAUAAUUGAGCUUGAGCUAAAAGAGGAAAUUAAAAAGAAAAAAGGAAUUAAAGAUGAGGUGCAGCUUACCAGCAAACAAAGGGAGAUGAUGCAGAACCAGCUGGAGAAGGAGUGCUCUAUCCGGAAGAAACUGCAAGAGUUGGAUAUGGAACUGCAAUGCACAGUGGGGCUUUUGGAGGCCAUUAUGGCUUGUCACCCUCCUCAGAUUUCUCACCACAUUCCUAGAAUCCUCCAAGUGCUCCUGCCCCUACUGCACUCACCAUUAGCUGCUUCUCAUGUGCACCAAACCUUCCUCCAUAUUGGCACAUGUGUCCUGCAAAAUCACUUGCACUUCCUGGCACUUCAUGUGGGUCAUGUGACCUUGCGUCUUUUGAAGCCGGAAUGUGAACUGGAUCUAGCUUGGUCUCAGGAGGACCUGAACACAGCUGCACGUCGGACCAUCCAACUGUUGUACACACAGACAGUGCCAUAUAGAGAGGGUAAAUCUGAUGUGCGUCCCCUGUCUGCACCGGCUUUUUCUUUCUGUUUCCCACUGCUGCAGGCCGUCCUCAGCAUAAAUAGUGGGAUAUCUGAGGAGACAGAACUCAUGCUGACACAUGCACUACAGAUUAUCCACACACACUCUCAGUUGCGCUCCAGCAGUGAUGCCACUGAUGUACUCAUUGAUGAGAAUGGUCCAGAGCUUCUCCCCCGUGUGAACAUGCUGUUACUGCUCACCAAAGUGAUUGGUACCUCUACACCACGACUGCAGGUGCUUGCAUCAAGUUGUCUUACCACUCUUUGUGUGAGUGCUGGAGGGCAGGAGGGCUGUGCAUUGGCUGAACAAGCUGAGAUUGACGUGCUUCUAGAAGCCCUGCUUUCUCCAUGUUUUUCUGUUAGGGAUGCAACCCUCCGGGGCCUUUUGGAGUUGAAGCUGGCUUUGCCCACAGAUAGUGCUGAACCCAGUGGGCUCAAUGUGCUCAGGAGACUGUGGGUGGCCAAAUUUGAUGUGGAGGAGGAAGGCAGAGCACUAGCUAACAAGUUGUGGCAGACUUUGUGUCUAGAGUUGGUUCCUGAACUUUGUCCACUGCUAAUCAGUGAUGUAACACACCAUGAGGAAACAGUGAGGGUGGCAGCAGCUGAGGCUUUAUCCUGUGCCGUGAGUCAAUACCAGGAAGAAUCAGCUGCAGUUCUGUCUCAGCUUACCGAGCUCUAUCAGCAGAAACUUUAUAGACCACCUCCAGUCCUGGAUGCUUUGGGACGGGUAAUAUCAGAAGCACCUCCUGACCAGUGGGCUGCAAGAUGUGGGAUAGCACUGGCUCUUAAUAAACUGUCUCAGUGGCUAAGGGAGUAUCAGGUGACUCCCAUCUUUCAGUUUUUCGUACCUGAAGCUCUGAAUGACAGACACAGUGAGGUGCGACGCUGCAUGCUGGAUGCUGCUCUGUCUGUCCUCAACACCCAUGGCAAGGACAAUGUAAACUCACUGCUGCCUGUGUUUGAGGAGUUCCUGAAGAAUGCUCCUCAAGAUGCCAGUUACGACUCAGUGCGUCAGAGCGUGGUCAUCCUCAUGGGCUCACUGGCCAAACAUCUGGACAAGAGUGACCCCAAAGUCAAGCCAAUAGUCGCUAAGCUUAUCACUGCUCUCUCCACACCCUCUCAGCAGGUCCAGGAGUCUGUGGCCAGUUGCUUGCCUCCUCUGGUGCCUGCUAUAAAGGAAGAUGCGGGUGACAUGGUGCGCAAGCUGCUGCAGCUGCUGCUGGAGAGUGAUAAGUAUGCAGAGAGGAAAGGUGCUGCCUAUGGUUUAGCCGGCUUAGUAAAGGGCCUGGGUAUCCUCUCACUCAAACAGCAAGACAUCAUGACUACGCUCACUGAUGCCAUUCAGGACAAAAAGAAUGCCAGACGGAGAGAGGGUGCCCUAUUUGCUUUUGAAAUGCUGUGCAACAUGCUGGGAAAACUGUUUGAGCCAUAUGUGGUACAUGUGUUGCCCCAUCUUCUCCUCUGCUUUGGAGAUGGGAACCAGUAUGUUAGAGAGGCAGCAGAUGACUGUGCCAAAGCUGUAAUGCGCAAUUUAAGUGCUCAUGGGGUGAAGUUAGUUCUACCCUCUCUCCUUGUAGCCCUAGAGGAGGAGUCCUGGAGAACAAAAGCAGGUUCUGUGGAGUUGCUUGGUGCCAUGGCAUUCUGUGCCCCUAAACAGCUGUCAUCAUGUCUACCCAGCAUUGUGCCCAAGCUGACUGAGGUUCUUACUGACUCGCAUGUCAAAGUGCAGAAAGCUGGGCAGCAGGCACUGCGCCAGAUUGGCUCAGUCAUCCGCAACCCUGAGAUCCAGGCCAUCACUCCCAUUCUGCUGGAUGCUCUUACGGACCCAUCACACAAGACACAACAUUGUCUGCACACACUGCUUGAGACCAAAUUUGUGCACUUUAUUGAUGCACCUUCACUGGCUCUCAUCAUGCCCAUUGUUCAGAGGGCUUUCCAGGACCGGUCCACGGACACACGCAAAAUGGCUGCACAGAUCAUCGGCAACAUGUACUCCCUCACCGACCAAAAGGAUCUCUCUCCCUACCUGCCUAGUGUGAUACCGGGACUCAAAACAUCCCUACUGGAUCCUGUACCAGAGGUACGGACAGUGUCUGCAAAAGCUCUUGGUGCUAUGGUCAAAGGUAUGGGUGAGUCCUGCUUCGAUGAUCUGCUGCCUUGGCUGAUGGAGACUCUAGCCUCUGAACAGAGCUCUGUGGAUCGUUCUGGAGCUGCACAGGGUCUGGCAGAGGUGAUGGCUGGGUUAGGUGUUGAGAAGCUGGACAAACUGAUGCCUGAUGUUGUCCAGACGGCCAGCAAAGUGGACAUUGCUUCUCAUGUCCGCGACGGCUACAUUAUGAUGUUCAUCUACCUUCCACUCACCUUUGGUGAAAGAUUCACUCCCUAUGUAGGCCCAAUUAUUCCCUGUAUCCUGAAGGCUCUGGCUGAUGAGAAUGAGUAUGUAAGAGACACAGCACUAAGAGCAGGUCAGCGCAUCAUCAGUAUGUAUGCAGAGACAGCCAUUGCCCUUCUGCUGCCUGAGCUUGAGCAAGGCUUGUUUGAUGACCUUUGGAGGAUCAGGUUCAGCUCAGUGCAGUUGCUAGGAGACCUGCUCUUCCACAUUUCUGGGGUUUCUGGGAAGAUGACAACGGAGACCGCUUCCGAGGAUGACAACUUCGGGACAGCACAGUCUAACAAGGCCAUUAUUGGUGCACUGGGAGUGGAGCGAAGGAACCGUGUGCUCUCUGGCCUCUAUAUGGGCCGCUCAGACACGCAGCUUGUGGUCAGACAGGCCUCCCUGCACGUCUGGAAGAUUGUGGUGGCUAACACUCCGCGUACACUUCGAGAAAUCCUGCCUACACUGUUUUCCCUGCUGCUGGGAUUCCUGGCCUCUACCUGCCCUGACAAGAGAACGAUUGCAGCUCGUACUCUGGGGGAUUUGGUAAGGAAACUGGGGGAAAAGAUCCUUCCGGAAAUCAUCCCCAUCCUAGAGGAGGGUUUGCGCUCAGAGAAGAGUGACGAGAGGCAGGGUGUGUGCAUCGGUCUCAGCGAAAUUAUGAAGUCCACCAGCAAAGAUGCUGUGCUGGUGUUCUCUGAAUCCCUAGUGCCUACAGUGCGUAAAGCUCUGUGUGACCCUUUAGAAGAUGUGCGUGAGGCUGCAGCUAAAACCUUUGAACAGUUACACACCACAAUUGGGCACCAAGCACUGGACGACAUCCUCCCUGCUCUGCUUAAACAGCUUGAGGAUCCAGAGACUGCUGAAUUUGCUCUGGAUGGGCUGAAGCAAGUUAUGGCUGUGAAGAGUCGAUCAGUGCUGCCUUACCUGGUGCCCAAGCUCACUGCUCCACCAGUGAAUACACGUGUGCUAGCCUUCCUGUCUGCUGUGACGGGUGAUGCUCUGACACGUCACCUGGGUGUGAUUCUGCCUGCUUUACUCUCAUCCCUCAAAGAAAAGCUAGGCACUGAGGAGGGACAUCAGGAGUUAAGCAACUGCCAGACUGUGAUUUUGUCCGUUGAAGAUGAAGUGGGCCAGCGGAUCAUCAUUGAGGAUCUACUGGAGGCAACACGUGGUGUAGAUGCUGGUCUUAGGCAGGCAUCUGUUACCAUAUUAAAUUCCUACUUCUCCCGAACAAGACUUGACUACAGCACUCACACACGCACGCUGCUUUCUGGCCUUGUGCGCCUGCUCAAUGACACCAACCCUGAGGUGCUCCAUCAGAGCUGGGACACCAUCAACUCCAUCACCAAGAAAUUGGAUGCUGGGAGUCAGCUGGCUCUGAUUGAUGACUUGCACAGAGAUAUACGUUCAGCAGCAGCUGAGGUCAAGGGUGAACAUCUGCCUGGCUUCUGUCUGCCCAAAAAGGGAGUGACUUGCAUUCUACCUGUUCUGAGAGAGGGUGUGCUGACGGGAAGCCCAGACCAGAAGGAAGAAGCAGCACGUGCGUUAGGUGCUGUCAUCAAGCUUACCUCUGCUGAGGCUCUGCGGCCCUCUGUAGUCAAUAUCACUGGGCCGCUUAUUCGUAUACUCGGAGAUCGUUUUGCCUGGACUGUGAAGACUGCUCUACUUGCGACCCUGACCCUUCUGCUUCGCAAGGUGGGCAUAGCUCUGAAGCCGUUCCUUCCACAGCUCCAGACCACAUUCCUGAAGGCCCUACAAGACACAAGCAGGCCUGUGAGGCUCAGGGCAGCUGAGGCUCUAGGACAACUUGUUUCUAUACACACAAAAGUGGACCCACUAUUUACGGAGCAGCUCUCAGCCAUUCGCAAUGCUGAGGACUCAGGCGUCAGGGAGACCAUGCUGCAAGCCCUGAGGUUUGUCAUACAAGGUGCUGGAGCUAAAGUUGACCCUGCCAUCAAGAAGACCAUGACCGCCAUGUUGCUAGGCAUGCUAGGACAUGAUGAGGAUGCAACACGAAUGGCCUCUGCUGGGUGCGUUGGUGUGUUAUGUGCCUUCCUGUCUGAAGAAGAGCUUAGAAAUGUUCUAGAACAGUAUGUCCUUGGUAAGAUCCAACAGACACAGAAAACACCUCUGUAUAAUCCAAACUUUAGUGGUUGAAUAAUUACAUCUUGAAGUGUUUUUAUUAGGGGUGGGCAAGUUAACGCGUUAUUAUCGCGUUAACUCAUUAAUUAAUUAACGCCGAUAAUUAUUUUAUCGCGCAUUAACGCAGUUUUUAUUAUUUUGUAAAUUAUUUUAAAAGUCUGUUGCUCACUGGCUCUGAAUACACAUACAGACAAACUAUGGGCGACGAGAGGGGUGGGAUCUUGAUCCGUAUUGGCUUGGGAUAAACGUCCUCACGCGUCUCAACCAAUGAGAGCAUUUGGGAUGACCGUAAGACUGCUGUGGCGCUCACAGUAACCGGAGAAGAAAUAGAACCGGCGGAUAAACAAACAUGGAGAAAGGCACCGAACUUUUACAUAGACAGUUUCAUUUUUAACUUCUUUCAGACGAUAGAUAGAUAGAUAGAUAGACAGACAGGCAGAUGGGUAGGGAUAGAUAGAUAGAUAGAUAGAUAGAUAGAUAGAUAGAUAGAUAGAUAGAUAGAUAGAUAGAUAGAUAGAUAGAUAGAUAGAUAGAUAGAUAGAUAGAUAGGUGGACAGGCAGGUAGGUAGGUGGACAGGUAGAUAGAUAGAUAGAUAGAUAGAUAGAUAGAUAGAUAGAUAGAUAGAUAGAUAGAUAGAUAGAUAGAUAGAUAGGUGGACAGGCAGGUAGGUAGGUGGACAGGUAGGUAGGUAGAUAGGUGGACAGGCAGGUAGGUAGAUAGAUAGAGAGAUAGGCAGGUAGGCAGGCAGAUGGGUAGGCAUAGAUAGAUAGAUAGAUAGAUAGAUAGAUAGAUAGACAGACAGGCAGAUGGGUAGGGAUAGAUAGAUAGAUAGAUAGAUAGAUAGAUAGAUAGAUAGAUAGAUAGAUAGAUAGAUAGAUAGAUAGGUGGACAGGCAGGUAGGUAGGUGGACAGGUAGGUAGGUAGAUAGGUGGACAGGCAGGUAGGUAGAUAGAUAGAGAGAUAGGCAGGUAGGCAGGCAGAUGGGUAGGCAUAGAUAGAUAGAUAGAUAGAUAGAUAGAUAGAUAGAUAGAUAGAUAGAUAGAUAGAUAGAUAGAUAGAUAGAUAGAUAGAUAGAUAGAUAGAUAGGUGGACAGGCAGGUAGGUAGAUAGGUGGACAGGCAGGUAGGUAGAUAGAUAGAGAGAUAGGCAGGUAGGCAGGCAGAUGGGUAGGCAUAGAUAGAUAGAUAGAUAGAUAGAUAGAUAGAUAGAUAGAUAGAUAGAUAGAUAGAUAGAUAGAUAGAUAGAUAGAUAGAUAGAUAGAUAGAUAGAUAGAUAGAUAGAUAGAUAGAUAGGUGGACAGGCAGGUAGGUAGGUGGACAGAUAGAUAGAUAGAUAGAUAGAUAGAUAGAUAGAUAGAUAGAUAGAUAGAUAGAUAGAUAGAUAGAUAGGCAGGUAGGUAGGUGGACAGGUAGGUAGGUAGAUAGGUGGACAGGCAGGUAGGUAGGUGGACAGGUAGGUAGGUAGAUAGAGAGAUAGAGAGAUAGGCAGGUAGGCAGGCAGAUGGGUAGGCAUAGAUAGAUAGAUAGAUAGAUAGAUAGAUAGAUAGAUAGAUAGAUAGAUAGAUAGAUAGAUAGAUAGAUAGGUAGGUAGAUAGGUGGACAGGCAGGUAGGUAGGUGGACAGGUAGGUAGGUAGAUAGAUAGAGAGAUAGGCAGGCAGGCAGGCAGAUGGGUAGGCAUAGAUAGAUAGAUAGAUAGAUAGAUAGAUAGAUAGAUAGAUAGAUAGAUAGAUAGAUAGAUAGAUAGGUAGAUAG
This is an RNA transcript of Hemibagrus wyckioides, 9268 nucleotides long. It is a transcript of the gene named GCN1 activator of EIF2AK4, with no coding region annotated. The record is from RefSeq and is a predicted model, not a curated record. The transcript is spliced from 55 exons. NCBI's taxonomy places the organism in Eukaryota, Metazoa, Chordata, Actinopteri, Siluriformes, Bagridae.